AUUGAACGCUGGCGGCAUGCUUUACACAUGCAAGUCGAACGGCAGCGCGGGCUUCGGCCUGGCGGCGAGUGGCGAACGGGUGAGUAAUGCAUCGGAACGUGCCCAGUAGUGGGGGAUAGCCCGGCGAACGCCGGAUUAAUACCGCAUACGACCUGAGGGUGAAAGCGGGGGACCGAAAGGCCUCGCGCUAUUGGAGCGGCCGAUGUCGGAUUAGCUAGUUGGUGGGGUAAAGGCUUACCAAGGCGACGAUCCGUAGCUGGUCUGAGAGGACGACCAGCCACACGGGGACUGAGACACGGCCCAGACUCCUACGGGAGGCAGCAGUGGGGAAUUUUGGACAAUGGGGGCAACCCUGAUCCAGCCAUGCCGCGUGCGGGAAGAAGGCCUUCGGGUUGUAAACCGCUUUUGUUCGGGAAGAAAUCCUCUGGGCUAAUACCCCGGGGGGAUGACGGUACCGGAAGAAUAAGCACCGGCUAACUACGUG
This 484-nucleotide ribosomal RNA is filed under the name uncultured bacterium. RNAcentral's name for it is "partial 16S ribosomal RNA". It matches the Rfam family "Bacterial small subunit ribosomal RNA", at positions 28 to 507 of the family's 1533-position model. The record is from RNAcentral.